UGCGUAGGUGGUUAUUUAAGUCUGUUGUGAAAGCCCUGGGCUCAACCUGGGAACUGCAGUGGAAACUGGACGACUAGAGUGUGGUAGAGGGUAGCGGAAUUCCUGGUGUAGCAGUGAAAUGCGUAGAGAUCAGGAGGAACAUCCAUGGCGAAGGCAGCUACCUGGACCAACACUGACACUGAGGCACGAAAGCGUGGGGAGCAAACA
RNAcentral lists this ribosomal RNA (207 nucleotides) under uncultured bacterium. RNAcentral's name for it is "partial 16S ribosomal RNA". It matches the Rfam family "Bacterial small subunit ribosomal RNA", at positions 568 to 774 of the family's 1533-position model. The record is from RNAcentral.